GGAAAAGUUAUAGUAUUGUAUAUCCUUGGAAUUAAACCAACAAAAGAAAACCAAAAUGGAAUCGUUUAAAAUACUAAGCUCCUAGUACAUGAGGAAUCGAAGCUGAGGACAUCUUUAGUCAGGUAGGCUCACUUACUUUCUUGAAUCACUAAGGUUAUUGGUAUUAGUAGACAUUAACCCAACUAUGGAAUUCUAAAAAAUCCCCAAAAAAAAAUGUUUCUUCAGUCAAAUUCUAAUACAGAAAUUUAAAAGAAAAUACUUUUUUCAUCCAACUUCAACUAGGACAAAAAAUAACUUUACAUUCAGAAAUCAGAAAUAAGGAUAUUUAGGACAAUACCAUGGAAGGAAGCGCAUCAUGAUG
This 361-nucleotide unclassified non-coding RNA is filed under the name Hevea brasiliensis (rubber tree). The record is from RNAcentral. Lineage: Eukaryota; Viridiplantae; Streptophyta; Magnoliopsida; Malpighiales; Euphorbiaceae.